UUUUUUAUCUGGCCAAAACCGUCAGAAAAAAAAAAAAUUCAAAAUUGACCAGCUAAUGAUAGCAAUCAGCUUAUUCAAUAUCACUUCAUGCCUGCAUGUGAUUUGGUAGGGUCCCACCUUUCAGUUCUUGGUGGCAGUGGGUGGUUGACGUGAUUUUACUGUCUCAUGCAGUUGUUCCUAUCAUUCUUAGUACGAAAUAUGGAUAUGUACUGUGUAUGGUGCUUUAUCCACAGAAUAAUUUAUUUUGGUGCUAAAGAAAGAAUACCAGGUUUCAUGUGAGAUGAAGUUUAAAUCCCUCAAAACUGUUUGCGUUGGUGAUGUGCAUCUGAGUUUUUGUCUGAGUUAUCAAUAAUUAUGGUUCGCCAGAAGAGAGGUGAGGACAUAGGACAUGGUUUUUUGUGAACUUACUGCUGGUAUGGCGCAAUUGUGAUUGAUAUUAUUGUUUGUUUAAAAGCUCAGAAUACCUGAAAUCUUCUUGUUCUAAAAUAAACUUCUUUUUUUUAGUGGCAUAGAGGGCCAAUAGAAGUUUACGAAAGGUCACCUGAGUUGUAGAAGAACAUUUUCACAUAAGUCAAAUUUGAUUGUGACCCUUUGGCGUGUUGAAUAAUUUGUCACCUGGUGAUUCUCAAAAGAAUUUGGACCAACUCUUUGAGGAAGUAGUUAUUAUAUAUCCAUAUAAUUUGUUAGCCAAGGGAUUCAACAAUUCACCAUUGUACAGUAAUUGCUUUUUAUAGCUUGCUUGGCUAAGCUUUCAAGUGCUUAGAAGCAGUGUGCCCCAGGGAAUUUGUGGCUCGAAGGUAAGUAAAAGUUGUAGGUUGAAUUUGUGAAUAAGAAUAGAGUUUGACCAACUUACAAGCAAUUGUAAGCUUUGCCAAACAUGCACUUAAUAUGAAUCUCCAGGUAGGGGAUUUGUAUCUCUGUUCGUGAGAGUAAUCUCCAUAUUUUUUCUCAUACCGAAGGUUAUUUCUAGCAUAAUCACUUUGUUCGUCAGAAAGGGUAGCAUAUUCUUCGCCCAUUUUGAAUAUCUUUUGCAUGUUCAGAAUCUGUUUGAUAUAUGCACUUUGUUCUUCAAGUUUGUGUUAGUUGAAUAUAUUUGCUCGUCACGGAACUAUUAUCUUUGUUAAGGUUUUGUGGGUGAAGUGCAUUUUGAUCGCCACUUAUGUUGUGUUUAUAACUUGCAUUAGGUUGUAUUCCACUUUCCUGAAUCCCUUCGAAAGGAUAACUUAUAUUGUUGGGUUGUUAUAAACAAAAGCCACGUUUUGAUUUGAUUAUACUAUGGCUUGUUAUGUUGUGAAUUCUGUCUUGACCUUGGACAUAGUUGAGAUGCUUCUCGACUUGACCUCCCAUUGGCCAUAUUUGUUUUACUCAUACAACGUGCAAUGAUCAUUUUGUUUUUGAUCCUUUAAUGUCUAAGUGGAUAAGGUUAGGAACUCAAAAUUUCUAGCCAGGCAGCACUAAGAACAUGCCUUUUCAGUGUCCCCAUUGCAAGAUGGAUCUCUUUGCAACAGAAUUUGAUGAAAUGAAUUUCUGUCGUCUUUUUUUUUUUUGCCCCAUAAUUGAUUAUGUCUAGGUGAAGAGUUAUGAUCUCUUCUCUUGCAGUGUUGGUUUACUUAUUGAAGAUUAUUUUAUUAG
This 1632-nucleotide long non-coding RNA is filed under the name Olea europaea (common olive). RNAcentral's name for it is "long non-coding RNA (OEUR_LNC006206)". Lineage: Eukaryota; Viridiplantae; Streptophyta; Magnoliopsida; Lamiales; Oleaceae. The record is from RNAcentral.